AGGCCCCGUAAUCGGAAUGAGUACACUUUAAAUCCUUUAACAAGGAUCCAUUGGAGGGCAAGUCUGGUGCCAGCAGCCGCGGUAAUUCCAGCUCCAAUAGCGUAUAUUAAAGUUGUUGCGGUUAAAAAGCUCGUAGUUGGUUCUGCGUGCCGCGCUGUCGGUUCGCCGCCUGUCGGUGUAACUGGCAUGUCGCGGCAUGUCCUGUCGGUGGUGAACGGAGUCCACGACGCUACAUGGGCUUUAUAGUCGAUGUUAGCAUCGUGUGUACUUCCGUUGGCCGAUCUCUCCUACUUCGGUGCUCUUAAACGAGUGUCGAGGUAGGCCGACACGUUCACUUUGAACAAAUUAGAGUGCUUAAAGCAGGCUGAAAUAUCUGCCUGAAUAGUGGUGCAUGGAAUGAUAAAACAGGACCUCGGUUCUAUUUUGUUGGUUUUAGGAAUAUGAGGUAAUGAUCAAUGUGGACUGGCGGGGGCAUUCGUAUUGCGACGUUAGAGGUGAAAUUCUUGGAUCGUCGCAAGACGCACUAGAGCGAAAGCAUUUGCCAAGUAUGUCUUAAUUGAUCAAGAACGAAAGUUAGAGGUUCGAAGGCGAUCAGAUACCGCCCUAGUUCUAACCAUAAACGAUGCCAGCCAGCGAUCCGCCGAUGUUCCUUUAAUGACUCGGCGGGGAGCUUCCACCCGGGAAACCAAAGCUUUUGGGUUCCGGGGGAAGUAUGGUUGCAAAG
This 724-nucleotide ribosomal RNA is filed under the name Triatoma circummaculata. RNAcentral describes it as "SSU rRNA". It matches the Rfam family "Eukaryotic small subunit ribosomal RNA", at positions 498 to 1136 of the family's 1831-position model. The record is from RNAcentral. Lineage: Eukaryota; Metazoa; Arthropoda; Insecta; Hemiptera; Reduviidae.